Molecule: ribosomal RNA, 525 nt
Filed under: uncultured bacterium
Lineage: Bacteria
Description: bacterial SSU rRNA
Rfam family: Bacterial small subunit ribosomal RNA
Source: RNAcentral
CAAGGAAUUUUGGGCAAUGAGCGAAAGCUUGACCCAGCGACACCGCGUGAGGGAAUAAGGCCUUCGGGUUGUAAACCUCUUUUCCUGGGGAAGAAUCUCGACGGUACCCAGGGAAUAAGCCUCGGCCAACUACGUGCCAGCAGCCGCGGUAAUACGUAGGAGGCAAACGUUAUUCGGAUUUACUGGGCGUAAAGGGAGCGUAGGCGGUUCCUUAAGUCGGAUGUGAAAUCUUCUGGCUCAAUCAGAAGGCGCCAUUUGAUACUGAGGGACUUGAGAGCAGCAGAGGGAAAUGGAAUCUGCAGUGUAGCGGUGAAAUGCGUAGAUAUUGCAGAGAACACCAGUGGCGAAGGCGAUUUCCCAGGCUGUUUCUGACGCUGAGGCUCGAAAGCGUGGGGAGCGAAGCGGAUUAGAUACCCUGGUAGUCCACGCCCUAAACGAUGUCGACUGGUUGUUGGGGGUUUGACACUCUCAGUAACGAAGCUAACGCGUGAAGUCGACCGCCUGGGGAGUACGGCCGCAAGGUUA